UACAGAGGGUGCAAACGUUGUUCGGAUUUACUGGGCGUAAAGCGCGUGUAGGCGGCUUGGCAAGUCGGAUGUGAAAGCCCACGGCUCAACCGUGGAAGCGCAUCCGAAACGGCCUCGCUCGAGUCUCGGAGAGGAAGGUGGAAUGCUUGGUGUAGAGGUGAAAUUCGUAGAUAUCAAGCAGAACACCUGCGGCGAAGGCGGCCUUCUGGACGAUGACUGACGCUGAGACGCGAAAGCGUGGGGAGCAAACAGG
RNAcentral lists this ribosomal RNA (253 nucleotides) under uncultured bacterium. RNAcentral's name for it is "partial 16S ribosomal RNA". It matches the Rfam family "Bacterial small subunit ribosomal RNA", at positions 524 to 776 of the family's 1533-position model. The record is from RNAcentral.